GUAUUAUAAUUUACUAUUUGAGUAUUAGUUACAUUAUUUUUAACUUGAAGAAUCUGUAAGGUAAAAGGUUAAUUAAAAUACUAGAAAAUGUUUAAUUGUACCUUUUGUAUCAGGGUUAAUUUAAUAUUAUAAAUUAGUUUUUAUUCCCGAAAGAAGAAGAUUUAGGUAAAAUUUUGAUUUUGUGUUGCAAAAUUAGAGUAAAAGUUUUACUUAGGUUUGAAAUGGAUUACGAUUCUUUAUAUCUGGUUAUUUGAGUAUUUAAUUUAAUUAAUUUUGUUGUAGGAUGAGAAGAUUUUACACAAAAAAAUUUAAAUGGGGAAAAUCUCGUUUAAUAAUGAACAGGUUAUGUAGACUUUUGCUUAGUAUGUUUGAAAGACUUUCUUUUUAAUUUUUAAUAAUUAAGUAAUUAUUUUAUUCAAACUAGACCUUUCUUUAUUUUUCAAAUUGGUGAAUUUAAUUUUUUUUUUUAGAUAAUAAUGAUUGAAUUAGUAGAUUUUGUAAGUAAGUGGUUAAGAACUCGGCAAUAAUUAUUUUCGCCUGUUUAUCAAAAACAUGUUUGGGAGAAAAAAAUUUUUGAUUAGACCUGCUCAAUGCUUAUAGGUAAAUAGCUGCAGUAUUUUGACUGUACAAAGGUAGCAUAAUCAUUAGUCUUUUAAUUGAAGGCUGGUAUGAAUGGUUUGACGGAAAAUAAUCUUUUUUACUUUUACUUAUAUUGAAUUUUAUUUUUGUGUUAAAAAGCUUAAAUAAAAGAAAGGGACGAGAAGACCCUAUAGAAUUUAAAAUUAGGAAUUAAAGUUUAGGUUUUUUGUUGGGGUGAUGGAGAGUAAAACACUUUUUUUUAAAUUACUUAUAAGUAACUUUAUUGAUCCUUUUGUGAAGAUAGCAAGAUAAAAUUACCUUAGGGAUAACAGCAUAAUUUUUUUAAAAAGAUCUUAUUAAUAAAAAAGUUUAUGACCUCGAUGUUGAAUUAAAUUUAUUGUAGGGGCAGGAUUUUACAAUUUUGAGUCUGUUCGACUUUAAAAAUUUACAUGAUUUGAGUUCAAACCGGUGUGAGCCAGGUUGGUUUCUAUCUGUUUUAAUAUUAUUUAUUUUAGUACGAAAGGAUUAAGUAAAUAAAUUUUUAUUUUAAAAAAGAAUAAAUCUAAUU
Molecule: ribosomal RNA, 1147 nt
Filed under: Anoeconeossa unicornuta
Lineage: Eukaryota; Metazoa; Arthropoda; Insecta; Hemiptera; Aphalaridae
Description: 16S ribosomal RNA
Rfam family: Archaeal large subunit ribosomal RNA (bases 754-1072)
Source: RNAcentral